This 72-nucleotide transfer RNA is filed under the name Caudoviricetes sp. RNAcentral describes it as "tRNA-Arg". It matches the Rfam family "tRNA". From Rfam's summary of the family: Transfer RNA (tRNA) molecules are approximately 80 nucleotides in length. Their secondary structure includes four short double-helical elements and three loops (D, anti-codon, and T loops). Further hydrogen bonds mediate the characteristic L-shaped molecular structure. tRNAs have two regions of fundamental functional importance: the anti-codon, which is responsible for specific mRNA codon recognition, and the 3' end, to which the tRNAs corresponding amino acid is attached (by aminoacyl-tRNA synthetases). tRNAs cope with the degeneracy of the genetic code in two manners: having more than one tRNA (with a specific anti-codon) for a particular amino acid; and 'wobble' base-pairing, i.e. permitting non-standard base-pairing at the 3rd anti-codon position. The record is from RNAcentral. Lineage: Duplodnaviria; Heunggongvirae; Uroviricota; Caudoviricetes.
ACACCUAUAGCUUAAUGGACAAAGCCUCAGUCUUCUAAACUGAUUAUAUGGGUUCGAUUCCCAUUAGGUGUA